AAGGGAGACCUAAUUCAGGUAUGGGACGAAAAAAAAGUAGUCGCUACCAAGAAUCAAUCCCAAAAGGUCGGAGCGAGGCAAAAUUGGCUUUCAAACUAGGUUCUGGGUUCACACAAGACCUGAAUCAGGAACAAGGGCUAUUAGCUCAGGUGGUUAGAGCGCACCCCUGAUAAGGGUGAGGUCCCUGGUUCGAGUCCAGGAUGGCCCACCUGCACAGGUGGAAGAAAGAAAAGAAGCUCCGAAUCAGCACCUUAUCUUACUUAUAUAGUAAGAGAGAAUGCUGGCUCUGAGUACAGAGUCCAGAGGAACCUUGAAAACUGCAUAGAGCUAGGUGAAAAAGCCAAAAAAGAAGACCGCAAGGUCAAGCUAAUAAGGGCUAACGGUGGAUACCUAGGCAC
RNAcentral lists this transfer RNA (398 nucleotides) under uncultured Microcystis sp. RNAcentral describes it as "bacterial LSU rRNA". The stretch from base 135 to 208 matches the Rfam family "tRNA". Lineage: Bacteria; Bacillati; Cyanobacteriota; Cyanophyceae; Chroococcales; Microcystaceae. The record is from RNAcentral.